GGUACAGCUAAAGUUUGAUCUGGCUCAUGAAGUCCUACUUGGUGGCCGGAUUAGUGUGAUACUGGUGAAUGAACGUGAGUAACCUGCCCUUGACUCUGGGAUAAGCGUUGGAAACGACGUCUAAUACCGGAUACGAGCUUCCACCGCAUGGUGAGUUGCUGGAAAGAAUUUUGGUCAAGGAUGGACUCGCGGCCUAUCAGCUUGUUGGUGAGGUAAUGGCUCACCAAGGCGACGACGGGUAGCCGGCCUGAGAGGGUGACCGGCCACACUGGGACUGAGACACGGCCCAGACUCCUACGGGAGGCAGCAGUGGGGAAUAUUGCACAAUGGGCGAAAGCCUGAUGCAGCAACGCCGCGUGAGGGACGACGGCCUUCGGGUUGUAAACCUCUUUUAGCAGGGAAGAAGCGAAAGUGACGGUACCUGCAGAAAAAGCACCGGCUAACUACGUGCCAGCAGCCGCGGUAAUACGUAGGGUGCAAGCGUUGUCCGGAAUUAUUGGGCGUAAAGAGCUCGUAGGCGGUUUGUCGCGUCUGCUGUGAAAUCCCGAGGCUCAACCUCGGGUCUGCAGUGGGUACGGGCAGACUAGAGUGCGGUAGGGGAGAUUGGAAUUCCUGGUGUAGCGGUGGAAUGCGCAGAUAUCAGGAGGAACACCGAUGGCGAAGGCAGAUCUCUGGGCCGCUACUGACGCUGAGGAGCGAAAGGGUGGGGAGCAAACAGGCUUAGAUACCCUGGUAGUCCACCCCGUAAACGUUGGGCGCUAGAUGUGGGGACCAUUCCACGGUUUCCGUGUCGUAGCUAACGCAUUAAGCGCCCCGCCUGGGGAGUACGGCCGCAAGGCUAAAACUCAAAGGAAUUGACGGGGGCCCGCACAAGCGGCGGAGCAUGCGGAUUAAUUCGAUGCAACGCGAAGAACCUUACCAAGGCUUGACAUAUACGAGAACGGGCCAGAAAUGGUCAACUCUUUGGACACUCGUAAACAGGUGGUGCAUGGUUGUCGUCAGCUCGUGUCGUGAGAUGUUGGGUUAAGUCCCGCAACGAGCGCAACCCUCGUUCUAUGUUGCCAGCACGUAAUGGUGGGAACUCAUGGGAUACUGCCGGGGUCAACUCGGAGGAAGGUGGGGACGACGUCAAAUCAUCAUGCCCCUUAUGUCUUGGGCUUCACGCAUGCUACAAUGGCCAGUACAAAGGGCUGCAAUACCGUAAGGUGGAGCGAAUCCCAAAAAGCUGGUCCCAGUUCGGAUUGAGGUCUGCAACUCGACCUCAUGAAGUCGGAGUCGCUAGUAAUCGCAGAUCAGCAACGCUGCGGUGAAUACGUUCCCGGGCCUUGUACACACCGCCCGUCAAGUCAUCAAAGUCGGCACUCCAGUUUGCUCAGUGGCUCUAACAAGUCAUGACAAGU
Molecule: ribosomal RNA, 1400 nt
Filed under: Plantibacter flavus
Lineage: Bacteria; Bacillati; Actinomycetota; Actinomycetes; Micrococcales; Microbacteriaceae
Description: bacterial SSU rRNA
Rfam family: Bacterial small subunit ribosomal RNA
Source: RNAcentral